GUUUAUAACUUUUAUAGGUACAAAAAGGACCUGAUUCAACAUUCUAAACAAAUUCAUUGGUUUGUGAAAAAUGACAUAGACCCUGGCCGCGAUGGCAGUCCCAAACUCGAACCGAAAGGUCUACAAUGUGUGCACAGUUGGAGAAACAAAGAUGACAAGCGUGCACAUGCCCCCCAGGGGAAGCUAGCAACAGCCUGUUCAAGUUUAUUCGUUAAUGAUCCUUCCGCAGGUUCACCUACGGAAA
Molecule: unclassified non-coding RNA, 244 nt
Filed under: uncultured fungus
Lineage: Eukaryota; Fungi
Description: sequence contains ITS1
Source: RNAcentral